CAUUGGUUUGUGUAGCUCCUGAAUCUCUCAUAUGCUUCACCAAAACUUUCAUUGCUGUGCUGAGUGAAGCUAGAGAUUUGGUUUC
This 85-nucleotide small nucleolar RNA is filed under the name Eutrema salsugineum. RNAcentral's name for it is "Plant small nucleolar RNA R71". It matches the Rfam family "Plant small nucleolar RNA R71", at positions 16 to 100 of the family's 107-position model. Rfam says of the family: R71 is a member of the C/D box family of snoRNAs containing the C (UGAUGA) and D (CUGA) box motifs. Multiple nearly identical copies of this snoRNA have been identified in Arabidopsis, and it is thought to function as a 2'-O-ribose methylation guide for 18S ribosomal RNA. Lineage: Eukaryota; Viridiplantae; Streptophyta; Magnoliopsida; Brassicales; Brassicaceae. The record is from Rfam by way of RNAcentral.